AGGACGAACGCUGGCGGCGUGCUUAACACAUGCAAGUCGAACGGUAAGGCCCUUCGGGGUACACGAGUGGCGAACGGGUGAGUAACACGUGGGUGAUCUGCCCUGCACUUCGGGAUAAGCUUGGGAAACUGGGUCUAAUACCGGAUAUGACUACGAAUCGCAUGGUUUGUGGUGGAAAGCUUUUGCGGUGUGGGAUGGGCCCGCGGCCUAUCAGCUUGUUGGUGGGGUGAUGGCCUACCAAGGCGACGACGGGUAGCCGGCCUGAGAGGGUGUCCGGCCACACUGGGACUGAGAUACGGCCCAGACUCCUACGGGAGGCAGCAGUGGGGAAUAUUGGACAAUGGGCGAAAGCCUGAUCCAGCAACGCCGCGUGAGGGAUGACGGCCUUCGGUUGUAACCUCCUUCAGCAGGGACGAAGCGCAAGUGACGGUACCUGCAGAAGAAGCACCGGCCAACUACGUGCCAGCAGCCGC
Molecule: ribosomal RNA, 473 nt
Filed under: uncultured bacterium
Lineage: Bacteria
Description: SSU rRNA
Rfam family: Bacterial small subunit ribosomal RNA
Source: RNAcentral